UGGGGAAUUGUUCGCAAUGGGCGAAAGCCUGACGACGCAACGCCGCGUGGAGGACGAAGAUCUUCGGGUCGUAAACUCCUGUCGAGCGGGAAGAAUGCUUGCCAGAUAAAUAUUCUGGGAAAUUGACGGUACCGCUAAAGGAAGCCCCGGCUAACUCCGUGCCAGCAGCCGCGGUAAUACGGGGGGGGCAAGCGUUGUUCGGAAUUACUGGGCGUAAAGGGCUCGUAGGCGGCCAACUAAGUCGGAUGUGAAAUCCCCAGGCUCAACUUGGGAACUGCAUCCGAUACUGGAUGGCUUGAAUUCGGGAGAGGGAUGCAGAAUUCCAGGUGUAGCGGUGAAAUGCGUAGAUAUCUGGAGGAAUACCGGUGGCGAAGGCGGCAUCCUGGACCGACAUUGACGCUGAGGAGCGAAAGCUAGGGGAGCAAAC
This 427-nucleotide ribosomal RNA is filed under the name uncultured bacterium. RNAcentral describes it as "bacterial SSU rRNA". It matches the Rfam family "Bacterial small subunit ribosomal RNA", at positions 355 to 773 of the family's 1533-position model. The record is from RNAcentral.